AAUGAACGCUGGCGGCAUGCCUAACACAUGCAAGUCGAACGAGACCUUCGGGUCUAGUGGCGCACGGGUGCGUAACGCGUGGGAAUCUGCCCUUGGGUUCGGAAUAACAGUUAGAAAUGACUGCUAAUACCGAAUGAUGUCGUAAGACCAAAGAUUUAUCGCCCAGGGAUGAGCCCGCGUAGGAUUAGCUAGUUGGUGUGGUAAAAGCGCACCAAGGCGACGAUCCUUAGCNGGUCUGAGAGGAUGAUCAGCCACACUGGGACUGAGACACGGCCCAGACUCCUACGGGAGGCAGCAGUGGGGAAUAUUGCGCAAUGGACGAAGGUCUGACGCAGCGACGCCGCGUGUGGGAUGACGGUCUUCGGAUUGUAAACCACUGUCGGGAGGGACGAAUACGCCGCAAGGCGGGUGACGGGUACCUCCAAAGGAAGCACCGGCUAACUCCGUGCCAACAGCAGCCG
This 461-nucleotide ribosomal RNA is filed under the name uncultured bacterium. Its description in RNAcentral is "bacterial SSU rRNA". It matches the Rfam family "Bacterial small subunit ribosomal RNA", at positions 29 to 520 of the family's 1533-position model. The record is from RNAcentral.